This 197-nucleotide ribosomal RNA is filed under the name uncultured bacterium. RNAcentral describes it as "partial 16S ribosomal RNA". It matches the Rfam family "Bacterial small subunit ribosomal RNA", at positions 328 to 539 of the family's 1533-position model. The record is from RNAcentral.
ACGCUCGACACCUACGGGAGGCAGCAGUGGGAAUAUUGCACAAUGGGGGAAACCCUGAUGCAGCGACGCCGCGUGGAGGAAGAAGGUCUUCGGAUUGUAAACUCCUGUUGUUGGGGAAAAAGAGGAUGGUACCCAACAAGGAAGUGACGGCUAACUACGUGCUAGCAGCCGCGGUAAUCUGAGCGGGCUGGCAAGGC